Small nuclear RNA from Manis pentadactyla (Chinese pangolin), 107 nucleotides. Lineage: Eukaryota; Metazoa; Chordata; Mammalia; Pholidota; Manidae. The record is from RefSeq and is a predicted model, not a curated record.
GUGCUCAUUUUGGCAGCACAUAUACUAAAACUGGAACAAUAUAAAGCAGCUCAGCCCAGCCCCUGCACAAGGAUGACACGUCAAAUCAUGAAGCGUUCCAUAUUUUU